GCGUGCCUAAUACAUGCAAGUCGAGCGGACUUGACGGAGCUUGCUUCGUUCAGGUCAGCGGCGGACGGGUGAGUAACACGUGGGUAACCUGCCUAUAAGACUGGGAUAACUCCGGGAAACCGGGGCUAAUACCGGAUAACAUCAAGAGCUGCAUGGCUUUUGGUUGAAAGGCGGCUUCGGCUGUCACUUAUAGAUGGACCCGCGGCGCAUUAGCUAGUUGGUGGGGUAACGGCCCACCAAGGCCACGAUGCGUAGCCGACCUGAGAGGGUGAUCGGCCACACUGGGACUGAGACACGGCCCAGACUCCUACGGGAGGCAGCAGUAGGGAAUCUUCCGCAAUGGACGAAAGUCUGACGGAGCAACGCCGCGUGAGUGAAGAAGGUUUUCGGAUCGUAAAACUCUGUUGUCAGGGAAGAACAAGUAUCGGAGUAACUGCCGGUACCUUGACGGUACCUGACCAGAAAGCCACGGCUAACUACGUGCCAGCAGCCGCGGUAAUACGUAGGUGGCAAGCGUUGUCCGGAAUUAUUGGGCGUAAAGCGCGCGCAGGCGGCCUUUUAAGUCUGAUGUGAAAGCCCCCGGCUCAACCGGGGAGGGUCAUUGGAAACUGGAAGGCUUGAGUGCAGAAGAGAAGAGCGGAAUUCCACGUGUAGCGGUGAAAUGCGUAGAGAUGUGGAGGAACACCAGUGGCGAAGGCGGCUCUUUGGUCUGUAACUGACGCUGAGGCGCGAAAGCGUGGGGAGCGAACAGGAUUAGAUACCCUGGUAGUCCACGCCGUAAACGAUGAGUGCUAAGUGUUGGGGGGUUUCCGCCCCUCAGUGCUGCAGCUAACGCA
RNAcentral lists this ribosomal RNA (836 nucleotides) under Domibacillus indicus. RNAcentral describes it as "bacterial SSU rRNA". It matches the Rfam family "Bacterial small subunit ribosomal RNA", at positions 42 to 859 of the family's 1533-position model. Lineage: Bacteria; Bacillati; Bacillota; Bacilli; Caryophanales; Bacillaceae. The record is from RNAcentral.